AUUGAACGCUGGCGGCAGGCCUAACACAUGCAAGUCGAGCGGAUGAAGGGAGCUUGCUCCUGGAUUCAGCGGCGGACGGGUGAGUAAUGCCUAGGAAUCUGCCUGGUAGUGGGGGAUAACGUCCGGAAACGGGCGCUAAUACCGCAUACGUCCUGAGGGAGAAAGUGGGGGAUCUUCGGACCUCACGCUAUCAGAUGAGCCUAGGUCGGGUUAGCUAGUUGGUGGGGUAAAGGCCUACCAAGGCGACGAUCCGUAACUGGUCUGAGAGGAUGAUCAGUCACACUGGAAAUGGGAAACGGUCCAGACUCCUAAGGGAGGCAGCAGUGGGGAAUAUUGGACAAUGGGCGAAAGCCUGAUCCAGCCAUGCCGCGUGUGUGAAGAAGGUCUUCGGAUUGUAAAGCACUUUAAGUUGGGAGGAAGGGCAGUAAGUUAAUACCUUGCUGUUUUGACGUUACCAACAGAAUAAGCACCGGCUAACUUCGUG
This 484-nucleotide ribosomal RNA is filed under the name uncultured bacterium. RNAcentral describes it as "partial 16S ribosomal RNA". It matches the Rfam family "Bacterial small subunit ribosomal RNA", at positions 30 to 507 of the family's 1533-position model. The record is from RNAcentral.